CCCUGACAAUUAUAAUACAUUUCGACAAAUCCAGUGGAAAUUUAUAUCUCCCCUCAUCUCUCAUAUGGGUGAUAUCCAUCAACAGCAUAAAAAGACAGGUAGAUUGGAAGAACGUUCGUUCUCUGUCUACUAAUCCUGAUGAUUGCUCCACUUCCAAUCUACCUGUCGUUUUAUCCUCAUCAUUGCCGUCAACAGUCCAUUCUACACAUAUGUCGACGGAAUAAAGUCAUGUAAAUAUCAUUUAAAGAAAAUUGUCGGCGAAACGCCACUUGAGUUUGAAGAGCUUUUAGCACUGUAUUGGCACAGAUCAAAGCAUGUUUAAAUUUGAGACCAUUAUGUCAAUUGUCAUCUGAUCCUAAUGAUUUACAAGCUCUGACGCCUGUACAUUUUUUAAUAGACGAACCGCUUACAAGUUGGCUCGAUAUCGAUGUCGCGGAUAAUCCUAUUAACAGAUAUGGCAGUUGACUCAACGAAUAGCGCAAUAUUUUUGGAAACGAUAGAGCGUAGAGUAUUUGACAACAUUAUAGGAUAAAAAAGCAAUGAUCGGAACAAUAUAUCUGUCGUUGGGACGAAGUUACUUUUCGCUGCGCCCUUUUUCCACGAUAAUCAGCUGACAUUUCUGUGCACAGCUGACAAAGACCCAGAUGACAAGGUGGAGGGAUGGCCAACUCUAUUUUCAAAUAACUCAUACGGAUUUAAGAAGCUCAGGUAGGCUGGUAACGACGGUGCAAGUUUCGCUCUCGUUUCAUUUGCCGAUUUCUCCUUCAAGGAUCUACACAUGCACGCUGUAAUGCUGUGUAUACACAUAGUAAAACGGCCGAGAGAUUUCCGGGAAGAUAAAAAUAUCGUCAGAUACUCGCCAUAAAUUUUUUCCUGCGCCGCGAGGUACCAGGAUCCGAUAUACAUAAACACGUUCGACGAGAAUCACUGAAUUUCCAUUUUCGACGUCGACUUAUCACCCGUCAUUUCGCGAUUUACCGACGUCAUCUCGUCAGCGCUAUUUUGACAUGAGUAAUAGAAAGAUAACGAAGACAUUGACCAAAACGUAAUGAGACAACGACGUUACAUACAAAGGGCUUUCUUGGAGACUUAUAAUUAAAAGAACGAAUAAUAGAAAAUAUUCCAGAGGAAUAUAAUAUGAGGCUAAGUCGAUCUUCGAACAUCAAUAAGAUUAAUACGGAAAAUGAUGCAUGUCUCGUUUGUGCAAAUGGUGAUAUGCCUAUAGGUGCACAUAUAUGUUAUAUAUAACAAAAAUUUGUUUAUACUAUUGAUGAUUAUUCUGCACUAAUUGGAGAAACAGGGUGUGGUCAGAAACGAAUUUGUAAAAUUUUGAACUAUCUGGAAGUGCGAACGAAGUCUGAGCGAUAAGAGAAAUAGAGGAUAAUUGGAGAGGAUUUGCAUCUAAAACUUCUCCCAGAGGCAGAUACCUUUAACGAGACAAUAUAGAACAGGAUUUUCCAUUAGAAAAGCUUAAAAAAUACCUAUUAUAAAAAAUGAUAGUAGCGUGUUGGGGAAAGCAAUUAAAAUAGGAAAUCAAAAAUAUUCUCUUAAUUCAUUUGAGUCUGAAACUACUUAUGACGUAAAUGAUGACUUAGGAAUACAUUACAGUUGAAACGAACGAAUAGCUUUGUUUCCAUUCAUUUGAAUUAAAAGACAAUCUCGUCAUAAAUUUAUAAGCAACAAAACAUCACAAUCCAAAAAUGAUAAAUAGUUCAAUUUUUGCUUCAAUCGAAAUAAAUCAAAAAAUAUAUAGUCAUAAAUAAAGUGUUAUGAAUGCAAAAUCAUAAAUCUUUAUUUCAGUAAAAAAGAAGAAUAAAACAUGUAAGCCUUGAAUGCAUAGCCAAUGAAUUUAGUAGCAUGACUGUAUUGAAUUUUUGGUAUUAAGAAUCGCUAUGACUAAAACAGGCCUUUUAUUCUUGCGUUGUAAUUCUGUCAGUACGUAUUAUUAUAUAACUUUUUUUAAAACUUUUUAACUUUUAUUAGAACAACACUGCAACUAAGAAGCACAGAUAGUAACGUCGUUGAAAUAGUCACUUCAAAUGGAGAAUCUAUACAACUAACUUCUAACGUCACAUUAACAACAUUAAAACUUGUAAUACAACUAUUUUACAAUCAAUUAUUAAUAGAUAGUCAUAGAAUGAUAUCUCAAUAACCAUCUUAAAGACACGUAUAGACUGGAUUGAUACAAUUUUCGUAUUAAGGUGCAAAAUAAAGAAAUAAAUAAGUUUAUGCAAAAAUUGAACAAUUUAUUGAUUUAUCACUUGAAAAUUAAUAUUUCAUAGAUAUUUCGCUUUCCGUGCAUAUUUUUAUUGCUUUCAUUGUUUUUAUAUACAUCAAUCGCACGUAUACUUAUCACAGAAGAAUUUUGUGUGGUUCUGAUAGCUGGUCUUAUAAAUUAAGCACUUGCGAGAAACAGUAAAAGAUCAUUCAUCAUCACUCAGCACAUCUACGAAUUGCAGCACAGAAUUUAAGGAGAUUAAUGUAUACGGAUCACAUAAAUAUGUUUUGAAACAUUGUUAACAAAAGCAUUUAUAUUACAAAACUGACAUAUAAUAAUGUACAGCCGUGAAAAAAUUUUGAAACAAAUAUAUCAUGUAAGGACUAAUUUGUACGGAGCCGUAUAGAUGUUAUAAAUAAUGCAAAUAGUUAUAUAAUCAAUAUUAAUCUUUUAGGUAUUUUCUAGUUUGUAAAACGUAUUAACAUUUCACGGAGUUGUAAACUUUUUCAUAACUUUGUACUCCU
This is a long non-coding RNA of Solenopsis invicta (red fire ant), 2742 nucleotides long. RefSeq lists it as uncharacterized. The record is from RefSeq and is a predicted model, not a curated record. The transcript is spliced from 3 exons. Lineage: Eukaryota; Metazoa; Arthropoda; Insecta; Hymenoptera; Formicidae.